Ochlerotatus camptorhynchus is the source of this 944-nucleotide long non-coding RNA. RefSeq lists it as uncharacterized. The record is from RefSeq and is a predicted model, not a curated record. The transcript has 2 exons. Lineage: Eukaryota; Metazoa; Arthropoda; Insecta; Diptera; Culicidae.
CCAUCUUUAGUUCGAUUUCGAACCUUCAGGUGAACGGUUUGGUACGUCUGUCUGUCUGUCUGUCUUUCUGCCUGUUUGUAUCUUGUAUCUACGCAAAACGCAAACACAAGUGUUGUCCGUUGGAAUUUCUGUAGAUUUGUCUGCCUUUACUGUGUGGCCAGCUACCUGCAGAAACGCGCGAUUCGACGUACACUCAUUGUGGGAAUAGAGUGUGCGGAUUUUGGAGUGCGCGCGCAUAUCAAUGAGGAGAAAGGCUUUUGCACCCCUAACUGGCAGUGAAUAAAAAUAAGAGAAAAGUUCAAAUUUCAUACACGUGUGCGAUCGGUGCGAAGAGGAAGAAAGGGAUCAAACUGGAUCUGGCCGAAAUUGGAUCAAGUGCAACUUUGUACUGUGUGUCGUUCAAUAGUUUGGUAUUUGUGCUGCAAAAAGGGAUUUGCGGAGAAAUGCACCAUUGGUACCAGGAGUCCAUACCGAGUUGAAGCACGAAUCGAAAAAGUUUGUAAACAAGUGAAAAUUUCGGAUCGACGUCGAGAGUGUUCAAGCGGAUUUCAAUCAGAUUGACCAGAAGCAGAGCAAGAGAACGAAGUGCGGUGAAAGAAGCAAAAUAAAACCGAAACGAGUGGAUUAUUGGAGAAUAACUGGAGUGAUUCGAGGUUUCGUAAUAGAAAAGAAGCGAAUGAUCGAUUGAAGAGAGAGAAGAAAAAAGAGGAGAAGAGAACAAGUGCGAAUUUUCGGUGUUUUUGGAUCUAUCGGUGGCCACUUUGGAGUCGAAGGAAACGCAAAGAAGAGCCCCAUCGUACCUACUUUUAUUGCUGGGUGUUGGAUGAAAUAUGUGAAGCUGGAGAAAAUCGGCGAAUCACAAAGACAAGGGAUUUAAACAAUUGAAGUAAAAACAGAUAAAAAUACAUGUGAAUGAUAGUAAUCACCGUGCUCUGCAAGAGAGA